GCCGGGCAUGGUGGCGCAUGCCUGUAAUCCCAGCUACUAGGGAGGCUGAGGCAGGAGAAUCGCUUGAACCCAGGAGGUGGAGGUUGUAGUGAGCUGAGAUCAUGCCAUUGCACUCCAGCCUGGGCAACAAGAGCGAAAUUCUGUCUCAA
Molecule: non-coding RNA, 149 nt
Filed under: Pan troglodytes (chimpanzee)
Lineage: Eukaryota; Metazoa; Chordata; Mammalia; Primates; Hominidae
Source: Rfam by way of RNAcentral